RNAcentral lists this ribosomal RNA (586 nucleotides) under uncultured bacterium. Its description in RNAcentral is "partial 16S ribosomal RNA". It matches the Rfam family "Bacterial small subunit ribosomal RNA", at positions 355 to 1375 of the family's 1533-position model. The record is from RNAcentral.
UGGGGAAUUUUGGACAAUGGGCGAAAGCCUGAUCCAGCAAUGCCGCGUGUGUGAAGAAGGCCUUCGGGUUGUAAAGCACUUUUGUCCGGAAAGAAAUCCUUGGCUCUAAUACAGUCGGGGGAUGACGGUACCGGAAGAAUAAGCACCGGCUAACUACGUGCCAGCAGCCGCGGUAAUACGUAGGGUGCAAGCGUUAAUCGGAAUUACUGGGCGUAAAGCGUGCGCAGGCGGUUUGCUAAGACCGAUGUGAAAUCCCCGGGCUCAACCUGGGAACUGCAUUGGUGACUGGCAGGCUAGAGUAUGGCAGAGGGGGGUAGAAUUCCACGUGUAGCAGUGAAAUGCGUAGAGAUGUGGAGGAAUACCGGUGGCGAAGGCAGCCCCCUGGGCCAAUACUGACGCUCAUGCACGAAAGCGUGGGGAGCAAACAGGAUUAGAUACCCUGGUAGUCCACGCCCUAAACGAUGUCAACUAGUUGUUGGGGGAUUCAUUUCCUUAGUAACGUAGCUAACGCGUGAAGUUGACCGCCUGGGGAGUACGGUCGCAAGAUUAAAACUUAAACGAAUUGACGGGGUCAUAGCUGUUUCCU